Molecule: ribosomal RNA, 518 nt
Filed under: uncultured microorganism
Description: bacterial SSU rRNA
Rfam family: Bacterial small subunit ribosomal RNA
Source: RNAcentral
GAGUUUGAUCCUGGCUCAGGAUGAACGCUGGCGGCGUGCCUAAUACAUGCAAGUCGAGCGAACGGACGAGAAGCUUGCUUCUCUGAUGUUAGUGGCGGACGGGUGAGUAACACGUGGAUAACCUACCUAUAAGACUGGGAUAACUUCGGGAAACCGGAGCUAAUACCGGAUAAUAUUUUGAACCGCAUGGUUCAAAAGUAAAAGACGGUCUUGCUGUCACUUAUAGAUGGAUCCGCGCUGCAUUAGCUAGUUGGUAAGGUAACGGCUUACCAAGGCAACGAUGCAUAGCCGACCUGAGAGGGUGAUCGGCCACACUGGAACUGAGACACGGUCCAGACUCCUACGGGAGGCAGCAGUAGGGAAUCUUCCGCAAUGGGCGAAAGCCUGACGGAGCAACGCCGCGUGAGUGAUGAAGGUCUUCGGAUCGUAAAACUCUGUUAUUAGGGAAGAACAUAUGUGUAAGUAACUGUGCACAUCUUGACGGUACCUAAUCAGAAAGCCACGGCUAACUACGUGCC